RNAcentral lists this ribosomal RNA (462 nucleotides) under uncultured bacterium. Its description in RNAcentral is "bacterial SSU rRNA". It matches the Rfam family "Bacterial small subunit ribosomal RNA", at positions 28 to 507 of the family's 1533-position model. The record is from RNAcentral.
GAUGAACGCUGGCGGCGUGCUUAACACAUGCAAGUCGAACGGUAAGGUCCCCUUCGGGGGAUACACGAGUGGCGAACGGGUGAGUAACACGUGGGCAACCUGCCCCUCACACUGGGAUAACCACGGGAAACUGUGGCUAAUACCGGAUACUCCGCGAGGAUCGCAUGGUCCUUUCGGGAAAGCUCCGGCGGUGAGGGAGGGGCCCGCGUCCCAUUAGCUUGUUGGUGAGGUAACGGCUCACCAAGGCUGCGAUGGGUAGCCGAGCUGAGAGGCUGAUCGGCCACACUGGGACUGAGACACGGCCCAGACUUCUACGGAAGGCAGCAGUGGGGAAUUUUGCACAAUGGGCGAAAGCCUGAUGCAGCAACGCCGCGUGCGGGAUGAAGGCUCUCGGGUCGUAAACCGCUUUCAGCAGGGACGAACGUGACGGUACCUGCAGAAGAAGCCCCGGCUAAAUACGUG